GACGAACGCUGGCGGCGUGCUUAACACAUGCAAGUCGAACGGUGAAGGGACCGGUUUUUGCUGGUUCUGGAUGAGUGGCGAACGGGUGAGUAACACGUGAGUAACCUGCCCCCUUCUUCUGGAUAACCGCAUGAAAGUGUGGCUAAUACGGGAUAUUCUGCGCCUGCUGCAUGGUGGGUGUGGGAAAGAUAUUGUUUCGGUGGGGGAUGGGCUCGCGGCCUAUCAGCUUGUUGGUGGGGUGAUGGCCUACCAAGGCGGUGACGGGUAGCCGGCCUGAGAGGGUGGACGGUCACACUGGGACUGCGACACGGCCCAGACUCCUACGGGAGGCAGCAGUGGGGAAUAUUGCACGAUGGGCGCAAGCCUGAUGCAGCGACGCCGCGUGAGGGAUGGAGGCCUUCGGGUUGUAAACCUCUUUCGCCAGUGAAGCAGGCCUGUCCCUUUUGUGGGUGGGUUGACGGUAGCUGGAUAAGAAGCGCCGGCUAACUACGUG
This 493-nucleotide ribosomal RNA is filed under the name uncultured bacterium. RNAcentral's name for it is "partial 16S ribosomal RNA". It matches the Rfam family "Bacterial small subunit ribosomal RNA", at positions 28 to 507 of the family's 1533-position model. The record is from RNAcentral.